Molecule: ribosomal RNA, 301 nt
Filed under: uncultured bacterium
Lineage: Bacteria
Description: partial 16S ribosomal RNA
Rfam family: Bacterial small subunit ribosomal RNA
Source: RNAcentral
CAGUAGCCGCGGGAAUACAGAGGGUGCGAGCGUUAAUCGGAUUUACUGGGCGUAAAGCGUGCGUAGGCGGCUUCUUAAGUCGGAUGUGAAAUCCCUGAGCUUAACUUAGGAAUUGCAUUCGAUACUGGGAAGCUAGAGUAUGGGAGAGGAUGGUAGAAUUCCAGGUGUAGCGGUGAAAUGCGUAGAGAUCUGGAGGAAUACCGAUGGCGAAGGCAGCCAUCUGGCCUAACACUGACGCUGAGGUACGAAAGCAUGGGGAGCAAACAGGAUUAGAUACCCCUGUAGUCCCUGUCUCUUAUAC